This 660-nucleotide long non-coding RNA is filed under the name Pan troglodytes (chimpanzee). RNAcentral's name for it is "lincRNA". The record is from RNAcentral. Lineage: Eukaryota; Metazoa; Chordata; Mammalia; Primates; Hominidae.
GAGCGUCUCUGCCCGGCCGCCCAUCGUCUCAGAUGUGGGGGGCGCCUCUGCCCCGCCGCCCCAUCUGGGAUGUGAGGAGUGCCUCUGCCCAGCCGCGACCCCGUCUGGGAGCUAAAAUUCAAGUAAUGGACUAUUUGGAUGAUAGUGUGCCCGGAAUUGGUUCCUUCCGGUGGAUUCUUGGUCUCGCUGACUUUAACAAUGAAGCCUCAGACCAUCGCGCACAGUCCAGUGCUAAGACAGGGCAUGAGGACCAGCUCCACUGGAAACACCAGCCAGCGUCUUAACCGGGGAGGAAGGAAGGUGUGUGCUGGGCAAGUGGGGCAUGUGACAGAGUGGAACUGAAGUGGCCGUCGCUUGCCUUUAGGCCAGCAGGUUCCUCAGCAGCCUUUGCUCAUAGGCUGGCUUAACUAUGAUCCUGCUGUGGGAAGAUAAAAAAACUGACCGAAGGAGAUAGGCUGAGUAAUGGCUCCCUCAAGAUGUCCAUAUUUCAUCCCUGGAACCUGUGAAUACAUUACUUUAUGUGGCAAAAGGGACUUUGUGGCUGUGAUUAAACUAAGAACCUUGAAAUGAGGAGAUUCUCCGGGAUCGUCCAGAUGCAUCAAAUGUAACAAGAAGGAGUCAGAGUCAGGCUGGAAGCCGCUAUGCUGCUGGCUUUGAAGG